CCAGGGAGAAUUAAUAAAAGGCCUAAGUAGUAAUAGUUAUGUCCUAAAAAUUUGAAGAAUUUGGCGGUGAUUUAGUCUAGUCAGAGGAACCUGUUUUUGAAUCGAUAAACCACGAAUAAUCUUGCUCAAUUUUGUAAAGUAUGUAUACCAUCAUUAUUAGGUAAUUUUUAUAGAAUAAAUUACUGAAUUUGCUAAUAAUGUUAAAUAUAUUAGAUCAAGGUGCAGCUUAUAGUUGAGUUAAAAUGGGUUACAAUAAGUUUUAUUUAUCACGGAGAUAUAGUUUAAACACUAGUUAUGAAGGAGGAUUUGAUUGUAAGAUAAGUUUAACACGCUUGUUAGAUAUAAGCUCUAAAUCAUGUACACACCGCCCGUCACCCUCAACA
Molecule: ribosomal RNA, 383 nt
Filed under: Charybdis feriata
Lineage: Eukaryota; Metazoa; Arthropoda; Malacostraca; Decapoda; Portunidae
Description: partial 12S ribosomal RNA
Source: RNAcentral